RNAcentral lists this transfer RNA (59 nucleotides) under Trichuris sp. ETH232. Its description in RNAcentral is "tRNA-Pro". Lineage: Eukaryota; Metazoa; Nematoda; Enoplea; Trichinellida; Trichuridae. The record is from RNAcentral.
CAGACUAUAGUUUAUUAACCUGAAAACGUGAAUUUUGGAUAUUCAAAAACAAAGUCUGA